This 400-nucleotide ribosomal RNA is filed under the name uncultured bacterium. Its description in RNAcentral is "bacterial SSU rRNA". It matches the Rfam family "Bacterial small subunit ribosomal RNA", at positions 356 to 773 of the family's 1533-position model. The record is from RNAcentral.
GGGGAAUAUUGCACAAUGGGGGAAACCCUGAUGCAGCAACGCCGCGUGAGUGAUGACGGUCUUCGGAUUGUAAAGCUCUGUCUUCAGGGACGAUAAUGACGGUACCUGAGGAGGAAGCCACGGCUAACUACGUGCCAGCAGCCGCGGUAAUACGUAGGUGGCAAGCGUUGUCCGGAUUUACUGGGCGUAAAGGAAGCGUAGGCGGAUACUUAAGUGGGAUGUGAAAUACCUGGGCUUAACUUGGGUGCUGCAUUCCAAACUGGGUGUCUAGAGUGUUGGAGAGGAAAGUGGAAUUCCUAGUGUAGCGGUGAAAUGCGUAGAGAUUAGGAAGAACACCAGUGGCGAAGGCGACUUUCUGGACAAUAACUGACGCUGAGGCUCGAAAGCGUGGGGAACAAAC